RNAcentral lists this ribosomal RNA (63 nucleotides) under Cryptosepalum pellegrinianum. RNAcentral's name for it is "partial 26S ribosomal RNA". It matches the Rfam family "Eukaryotic large subunit ribosomal RNA", at positions 1 to 59 of the family's 3401-position model. Lineage: Eukaryota; Viridiplantae; Streptophyta; Magnoliopsida; Fabales; Fabaceae. The record is from RNAcentral. RNAcentral also lists the same sequence under 2 other names.
GAUGCGACCUCAGCUCAGGCGGGGCCACCCGCUGAGUUUAAGCAUAUCAAUAAGCGGAGGAAA